AACCUACCUCUAUCAGGGGGAUAGCCUCUCAAAAGAGAGAUUAACACCGCAUAACAUAUGUGACCGGCAUCGGUUGGAUAUUAAAUAUUUAUAGGAUAGAGAUGGGCUCGCGUGACAUUAGCUAGUUGGUAGGGUAACGGCUUACCAAGGCGACGAUGUCUAGGGGCUCUGAGAGGAGAAUCCCCCACACUGGUACUGAGACACAGACCAGACUCCUACGGGAGGCAGCGGUAAGGAAUAUUGGUCAAUGGGCGGAAGCCUGAACCAGCCAUGCCGCGUGCAGGACGACUGCCCUAUGGGUUGUAAACUGCUUUUGUCCAGGAAUAAACCUAGAUACGUGUAUCUAGCUGAAUGUACUGGAAGAAUAAGGAUCGGCUAACUCCGUGCCAGCAGCCGCGGUAAUACGGAGGAUCCGAGCGUUAUCCGGAUUUAUUGGGUUUAAAGGGUGCGUAGGCGGCCUAUUAAGUCAGGGGUGAAAUACGGUGGCUCAACCAUCGCAGUGCCUUUGAUACUGAUGGGCUUGAAUCCAUUUGAAGUGGGCGGAAUAAGACAAGUAGCGGUGAAAUGCAUAGAUAUGUC
RNAcentral lists this ribosomal RNA (579 nucleotides) under uncultured Bacteroidota bacterium. RNAcentral describes it as "bacterial SSU rRNA". It matches the Rfam family "Bacterial small subunit ribosomal RNA", at positions 123 to 700 of the family's 1533-position model. Lineage: Bacteria; Pseudomonadati; Bacteroidota. The record is from RNAcentral.